Molecule: ribosomal RNA, 440 nt
Filed under: Cutidiplogaster manati
Lineage: Eukaryota; Metazoa; Nematoda; Chromadorea; Rhabditida; Diplogasteridae
Description: partial 12S ribosomal RNA
Source: RNAcentral
UUGUUUUUUAUUAUAAAAAUUUUUAUUUUCUUAAAAAAUUUUAGGUAGAAUUCAGAAUUUUUUUUUUAUUAUUUUUUAUAAUAUUAAGAUUUGUUGAACGAACUAGAUUAGUCCCUAGUUAGACAAAAAUUAAAAUUACAGGAGUAAAGUUGUAUUUAAACUGAAAGGAUUUUGGCAGGUUUACUAAAUUAUCUUUGGAGGUUGGGUCUUAAUUGAGAACCCCCAUUAUCUACUUAUUUUUUAGACUCAUGUAUGAUCGUUUAUUUUAUUUUUGAGAAUUAUAAUUAAAAAUAUUCUUUAUAAAAAUAGAUAUAUACCUGGUUUAUGAACAAAGUAAAAUCUGACCUACAAUAAUUUAUUUUGUGGAUAGAAAAAUUAGGUUUUUCUUGAAAAUGUAAAAGAUAGUAAAAGAUUUUUAAUAUAUCUUUGAAGGGUAUCUA